Molecule: long non-coding RNA, 2385 nt
Filed under: Homo sapiens (human)
Lineage: Eukaryota; Metazoa; Chordata; Mammalia; Primates; Hominidae
Description: HSALNT0138441
Source: RNAcentral
GCGGGUCCCUGGCUAAGGCUCCUCCCCGACGAACCCCAUUCCUGCUUUCCCGCUCAAAUGUUGCAUUUUCUAAGACCUCCCUGGCCCGCCAUACGCCGAUCCUGAACCUACGAAAACCCAAGACUGCGGGCACGGUGGCUCAUGCCUGUAAUCCCAGCACUUUGGGAGGCCGAGGCGGGCAGAUCACGAGGUCAAGAAGUCGAGACCAGCCUUGCUAACAUGGCGAAACCCUGACUCUACUGAAAAUACAAAAAUUAGCUGGGCGUGAUGGCGUGCGCGCCUGUAGUCCCAGCUGCUCGGGAGGCUGAGGUAGGAGAAUCGCUUCAAUCCGGGAGGUGGAGGUUGCGGUAAGCAGAGAUUGCGCCACUGCACUCUAGCCUGGCGACAGAGACUCCUUCAAAAACAACAACAACAACAACAACAACAACAAAACAAAACCUCCCAAGACCCUAGUGGGCAGACACACAGCCAGCCAGACAUGGAGAGGAGCACAUUAGCAGAAGAAGACGCAAGUGGCUGGUCCUCGAGAGGACGUUGAGAGGAGCAUGCCAGCAGAAGAGCACACAACGACAGGCACCGACACACCACCGGCAGGCCAUGCACCAGCAGAAUGAUGCGGAGUUUGACGGGGCAGUCAGAGAAGAGCCUGGGCCGCCAAGGGGCCCGACUCCAGGGGAAAACCAUCUCCCUUCUGGCUCCCCCAUCUGCUGAGAGCUACUUCUACUCAAUAAAACCUUGCACUCAUUCUCCAAGCCCACGUGUAAUCCGAUUCUUCAGUGUCACCUCCCAAAUGUGGAAAUGCAUUGUCUUUCUUCUUUCCUAGACCAGUGGUCCUCAAACUUGAGCAGGCUGUGUCCUUUGCCUGGAAUGCUCUCUCUUGCUGGCUGGCUUCUUCCCACCAGCUGUGGCCAGGGCUGCUCCUUAUUCCUUCGUCAAAACUCCGUCUGCUGGGUGUGGUGCCUCACACCUGUAAUCCCAGCACUUUGAGAGGCCAAGGUGGGAGUAUCGUUUGAGCCCAGGAGUUCAAGACAAGCCUGGACAACAGAGCAAGACCCUGUCUCUACCAAAGAAAAGAAAAGAAAAGAAAAGAAACAGCCACUUUCUCUUCCAUGAGCCAGUUUAUGUUUUCUUCACGGCAUUUGUUACAAAUCACAAAUGUGGAGGAAAAAUGAAGGCAAAGCAAAAUAACAGGCAAGUCUGAAAACAAAAGUGUUGCCAGUCACGCUAAGCCUCAGGCACGCAUUCUGAAUGAAGCUAAAGUUUAAAGUCCCCUCUGAUAGAUUUGUGACUUAAAUGUCCACACUAGCAAGUGUGUUUCUCACAUGGAGAAGUAGCACGAUUUUAUGUCAGGAAAGGGAUGAGAACAUGCUUCUUGAACACAUACAAUGCUGAAGACAUUUCCUGGAAAACCAUUGGCCUUUGCUUAGGACAGUUGCAUCACACAGAGAUGUUUGUGGUUCAGAUUUAUAAGAAACAUGGGAACUGAAGCCAAAGCACUACUUUUGCUCAGUAUAACCAGGUGCCAGAUCUAAAGUGUUAGGCAGGUUCCUAUAUGUAUGUUAGAAAAAAGUUGCCCAAGUUUUGGACAAUUCCUUUUCCAUCUCUCUUACAAGUCAACAAAUCGAAGCAAUAAACUAUUCUCUGAAGAAAACAAAUUUAUUUGGUUGAUUCAAACUUUUAAUGAGACUAUUACUCCCCUGUGUGCCUUUCCUUUCUCUGGUUCUAGAAAUACAUCUAGAAAGGGGGAAAAUGUUAAUAUAUUUUCUACUGACUUUAUAUCACAAAUGCUUAGCUUAGAGGGUGGACUCUGAGGAACAGUGUCCUUUCCAAAUAUUAUAAAACUUUGUGUUCAUUCUGGAAAAACAAACAAAAUUAAUCACAAUGAUUUCCUGCUUUGGAGCAAUGAGAAAUGGGAGGGAAACUUCACCUUUUCAUAGCUUUUGAUGUUUGCACCAUGUGAAUUACCCACCCCCAAAUUUAAAAUACGAAUUUUUGAAAAAGUGUUUACCUCUGAGAAGAGAAACUAGUAGUGAAGAAUGAGGAGCUGUAGAUUUUUAACGAUUCUGAUGUAUUUGCAUUUUUCCCAAUGUUCAUGAAUAAAUAAAUGUGCAUUCAUAAUUAAAAAGAAUAAACAACCUGGAAAAAACAAAAAAAGCUCUGCGUUCACUGAUCUCUAAAUAAGAAAAGAUAAGACUUGUAGUGUGGCCUUGUACUUGUACAUCUUUUCCAUGUGCCAAAGAGCUACCCCAUGGUCAAGCCAAGUGGUGAUUAUGUAGCUUUCUCUGAACAGACAUAAUAGGGCUACACAUUCACUGUGAAAAAGCUGCAGACAGAUGACACCAGUCAACAGAACACCCUACACAGAAACUGUAAAACCAUUUUAAC